Molecule: small RNA, 314 nt
Filed under: Histoplasma capsulatum
Lineage: Eukaryota; Fungi; Ascomycota; Eurotiomycetes; Onygenales; Ajellomycetaceae
Also listed under: 1 other name
Description: hypothetical RNA
Source: RNAcentral
CAAUCAAGUGCAGUGGCCAAUUUAAGCUUCGGACACCGAAGCGCCGUCACAAGCUUCGCGGAACAUGCAUUCUUGGCGACGACAACAAGCAUUUUUUUCAGCUAUCAGCCAAGCGGGGCGAGCGGAUGGACAGGGGACUUGAAUCCGGGUCAAAAUUUCUGAGCGUGGUUUCAGCCAACAUUUUAUUCUGAACUUUGAACGCUGGUGGGGCCUGAUUGAAACUGACCAGUGCCAUGCUCAGUCAGGUACAGUGACGAGUUUGUGCUCAUUUAUGUUUGAGAAGUCGAGGAAGGUAAAUGCACAUAUACUGUCAA